AAUCACUUUUAAACUCAUGAGUAGACAACUCACAAUACACAACGACAAGUUGUCUAACUUUCAAGUGAUAUAAUUCUCAAAGCUAUUGAUUUAAAAUAUGUACAACACAUCAACAAAGUAGAAUAGACUGAGUGUUGCAGCGGAAUAAUUCAUGUGGAUUACAUGUAUGAAGACAUGGAAUCCUGAGCCUAAUUUAAUAUACUCUGAAGGCUUUGCUCUGCUUGCUUCCAUCUACAUCACAGCUUAACCUGCAUAUUUAGAAACAUACGCAGGGCUGAGUACCAAAUAGCACUCAGUGGUUACAUGCCGAAAUAACUUUAAACUUGCUCUUAGAGCUAUAUAUUGAACUUGUCAUCUCAAGCAUCACACAGGAGUUUUAUUUAAAUAACCUGUGCAUGCAAAACUGUAAAACUUCUCGAUAAUCAUCAUAACAUCAUAUACGUCUGCAGACAAUGAACAUGUAUGUACCAUAUCUACGCAUCAUAUAACUCUGAGUGUUGAGAAGUAGGCCUCCUUCUCAAACACGAUGACAAGCUAACUCAAAGGUUAACUGUCAACUCUGUGUACACAAAUCCUGACUCGCUCAGGACCCGAAUUCGUUCUUCUAUGUAGAUGGUAUCAUACAAAUCUCAAAUAUUGGCAAGUCAAUAAUUUGAAAACAAAUGCAUACACUCAAACUUUGUAUUAAAGUAUGCAUCUUUAACUGUUGAGUUAGUAAGCCCACCUGAUACGCUUAAUGAAAUAGAAGUCCUUGCUUGUUCAUUCUACACUGCCACUCGAACCUUCAUUGUAAUGAGGUUCCCAUGUAAGAUUGGAUAAUAAGUAAGUAAAUAGAAAGUAAAUCUUGAAUGAAACUUCUAUCACUUGAAAGUUGCAUCCUCUAAUCUGAGUAUUCUACUUAUAUAGACUUAACUAAAAGCAAAUAGUAACAUCACAUCUCUUUGGAUAUCUCAUUGGAGAAAGCUUAAGAGUAAACUAAUCCAUUCUAUAUAGAUUAGCUUACAAUUAAUAACUGAAAACAUCAAUCACUUAGCAUUGUUCUAUUCAUAACUUGCUCAAGUAAGAAAUCUCAAAUAUGUAAUCAUAUAUGAAUCUCAACUUUGAAAUAUCAUAUAAAAUCAACCUCUUUAAAGAAAAAUACAAGCUUUACAUUUUUAGAAAUCUCUCAAAGUCUAUUUUUAUUAGAAAGUUACAAAAACACAAUACACCAAGUGUGUGAGAAGUUAUAUCACGAAAGGCAAAAUCUGCCACUGAACUUCGCUGCUUCACGCAGUACAUUUCAGAAAAUCGUUUGACACAUCUAAAGGUCUCGGAUUUAGCUGAAAUUUUACAGAAACGUACUACUCAUGAUAAAGUUAUUACAGUAAAAAUUUCAAGUUAUUUGGACUACGAAAACAUCAUCAAAAGUACCCCGAAACAUACUGUUCUGUCCAACCCGAAAACUGACAGCAAUGCUCAUUGACAUAUCACUCAUAUUUUUCUCAAAUAACAGCUAUAGGAACUCAAAUACAUCAUCUUAAUACACAUUAGCAUGCUUUAGCUUAACUUAAUUCAUGUUCAACACAUCAACAUAUAGUAGCAUGCUUAAUAUCCUCCAAUUAUUAUCAUAUAAUCUCAUUUUACAACUCAAAGAGUACAAUUACACAAGCAUCAAACAUGUAGCUAUCUUAUAUCAAGAAUUCCCAAAUCCAUUGAAACUAAACUAUUAGAAAAUCAUGAUUUCUUGCAAAUAGAAACUCAAAUAAAUCUCAAUGAUUCCCUCACAAACAUAUAAAUAUAUAUACGCAGCCAAUUGAUGGAAAUAAAGAAGAUGAAAUUCUAGGGUUCUUGAGGGAGUCAAAAAUCGAAUCUUUGGGGUAGGGUUUUGAUUUAUUUCAUCAUACUACUUAAUUCUAAACAAUUACUAACUUGAAACAUGUAGUAAUCAACAUGAUACAAGAGGCAAAAUCGUUUUCUUCCACAACAGCCUAUUUCUCGAAAUAGCAAGAAGAAGAGAUAGGAGAAUUUUCUUCGAUUCUACUAUCAAUAAGACUUAAUCCAAGAUUUCUCACCUUAAUAUACGUUUCUGGAUGAAUAUAGGUGUGAUUUUUGGAGUGAUUCUUGGAGCUUGGCUAGAAAGAGAAAAACUCAAAAUGAAGAACAGAGGAAGGGACCGAGACUUGCAGGGGAAGAAGAAAAUAUUUGGCUUUUCUCAUAAGUCUUGUUUGGCGGCUGCCCUAACAAGAAUUAAAAUAAUUUGGACAAUAUAAUUCCUUAAAGCCUACGAAAGGCUUGAUCAUGAUCCAAGUAUGAAAAA
RNAcentral lists this long non-coding RNA (2296 nucleotides) under Salvia miltiorrhiza (redroot sage). RNAcentral's name for it is "long non-coding RNA (SMIL_LNC007181)". Lineage: Eukaryota; Viridiplantae; Streptophyta; Magnoliopsida; Lamiales; Lamiaceae. The record is from RNAcentral.